This 2132-nucleotide ribosomal RNA is filed under the name gut metagenome. RNAcentral describes it as "bacterial LSU rRNA". It matches the Rfam family "Bacterial large subunit ribosomal RNA", at positions 708 to 2925 of the family's 2925-position model. The record is from RNAcentral.
AAUGGGCCCGAAACCGGGUGACCUACCCAUGGUCAGGUUGAAGUGGAAGUAAAAUUCCAUGGAGGACCGAACCGACCUCCGUUGAAAAGGCGGCGGAUGAACUGUGGGUAGCGGAGAAAUUCCAAUCGAACCCGGAGAUAGCUGGUUCUCCCCGAAAUAGUUUUAGGACUAGCCUCAAGUUAGAUACCUGGAGGUAAAGCACUGAAUAGCCUAGCGGCCGAGAGGUUAGCGAAGCUUAUCAAACUCAGAAUGCCAGAGUAUUGAUGCUUGGGAGUCAGACAGUGUCAGAUAAAUGUCAUUGUCAAAAGGGAAACAGCCCAGAUCUACAGCUAAGGUCCCAAAGUCAGGUUAAGUGGAAAACGAUGUGAAGAUACGCAGACAACCAGGAUGUUGGCUCAGAAGCAGCCACUCAUUCAAAGAGUGCGUAAUAGCUCACUGGUCGAGCGUCUUUGCGCGGAGAAUUUAACGGGGCUAAACCUGACACCGAAGCUUAGGCAAUACAGCAAUGUAUUGGGUAGGGGAGCGUUGUAUACGCGGAGAAACAGUAGCGCAAGCGGCUGUGGAGUGUAUAGAAGUGAGAAUGCCGGAAUGAGUAGCGCGAAUGCAGUGAGAAUCUGCAUGGCCGAAAGCCUCAGGUUUCUGGAGGAAGGUUCGUCCGCUCCAGGUUAGUCGGGAGCUAAGGUGAGGCCGGAAGGCGUAGCCGAUGCACAGACGGUAGAGAUUCCGUCACCACCAAAAGAGUUAAGCACAGGGACACAUAUGAAGUCUCAGAGCCGGGUGUUGGUUCCGGUAGAGAUCGAGGGAAAUUAGUACCGAAGUCUGAGAUGGAAGAUGGCGAGAAAAGCUGUGUGUAUUUCUGAGGUGCCCGUACCGCAAACCGACACAGGUAGGUAGGAAGAAGAUUCUAAGGCCAACGGGAGAAGGGUUGUUAAGGAACUCGGCAAAUUGACCCCGUAACUUCGGGAGAAGGGGUGCUCCAGAGAUGGAGCCGCAGAGAAUCGGCCCAAGCAACUGUUUACCAAAAACACAGGUUUGUGCUAAAUCGAAAGAUGACGUAUACGAGCUGACGCCUGCCCGGUGCUGGAAGGUUAAGAGGAGAUGUGCAAGCAUUGAAUCGAAGCCCCAGUGAACGGCGGCCGUAACUAUAACGGUCCUAAGGUAGCGAAAUUCCUUGUCAGGUAAGUUCUGACCCGCAUGAAAGGCGUAAUGAUUUGGGCACUGUCUCAACAGCCCGCCCGGCGAAAUUGUAGUACCGGUGAAGAUGCCGGUUACCCGCGACAAGACGGAAAGACCCCAUGGAGCUUUACUGUAGCCUAAUAUUGGGUUUCGAUGUUGCAUGCACAGGAUAGAUGGGACACAGGGAAACAAUCGCUUUGGCGGUUGCGGAGUGGCCGUUGGGAUACCAUCCUUGCGAUAUUGGAAUUCUAACCUGCGGCUCUGAAUCGAGUCGGGGGACAUUGUUAGGUGGGCAGUUUGACUGGGGCGGUCGCCUCCUAAAGAGUAACGGAGGCGUUCAAAGGUUCGCUCAGCUUGAACGGAAAUCAAGCAAAAGAGUGCAAACGCAGAAGCGAGCCUAACUGCGAGACUGACGGGUCGAGCAGUAACGAAAGUUGGAGUUAGUGAUCCGGUGGUAUGUGAGUGGAAAUGCCAUCGCUCAACGGAUAAAAGUUACCCUGGGGAUAACAGGCUGAUCUCCCCCAAGAGUCCACAUCGACGGGGAGGUUUGGCACCUCGAUGUCGGCUCAUCGCAUCCUGGGGCUGUAUUCGGUCCCAAGGGUUUGGCUGUUCGCCAAUUAAAGCGGUACGCGAGCUGGGUUCAGAACGUCGUGAGACAGUUCGGUCCCUAUCUGUCGUGGGCGCAGGAUAUUUGAUGGGAGCUGUCCCUAGUACGAGAGGACCGGGACGGACGUACCUCUGGCGCACCAGUUGUUCCGCCAGGAGCAUAGCUGGGCAACUACGUACGGAUCGGAUAAACGCUGAAAGCAUCUAAGCGUGAAGCCGACCCAAAGAUAAGAUAUCCCACUGAUUGAAUCAGGUAAGAUCCCUUGUAGACUACGAGGUUGAUAGGCACGAUGUGUAAGUGGAGCGAUCCAUUCAGCAAGUGUGUACUAAUAGAUCGAGGGCUUGACCAC